This 2073-nucleotide ribosomal RNA is filed under the name Triticum aestivum (bread wheat). Its description in RNAcentral is "partial small subunit ribosomal RNA". The record is from RNAcentral. Lineage: Eukaryota; Viridiplantae; Streptophyta; Magnoliopsida; Poales; Poaceae.
AUGGCGGGUGGCGGCGGGGGAGUAGAGGUGAGGACGCCUCGGGAGAUGGAUCGGAAGCUGGAAGUUCCUUCCGAAGCAGAGAUCCUGAGGAUGGAGAUUGCAUCCCUGGUGAACCUGCUCAUGGAGAAGCAGUCUGACAUUCUUCCAUUCGACCCUGAGAUCGCGAGGAAGAUCACGUCCCUGAGGAGCGAGAUCGCAUGCCAAAAGUUGGAUCGCCUAAACUGCUUAUUCAGUUACAUAUUGCAACGGACGGAUGCCUUGUGCGACGAGAUGGCAUCAAUGGCAUCUAUUCUGGCCAAAGUCAGUGUCCCCGUCAUCUCCUAUUACAAGGUCUUCGAUCUGUUAAACGCGGCGCAGAGGUUAUCUAAGAUCUCCCUGGAUAUAUUACAUUCAACCGCGAAUGCAGAUAAAAAGAUGGCUGACCAAAAUGUUGAGGACCAGAGGACCAUGGAGGACAAAGGCAAAUCCAGCACCCACUGUUUUGAGAACCAGGGAACCAAGCAACAUGUGGAUGCAUCUGUAACAGAUCGGACAACGGGCCUUUGUAAAUCAAACAUGGAAACGCCGCAGAUGGCUGCCUACUGUCCUGAUGGCCAGAUGACUGAUGAGGAGGAUGAACAUUUCGUGGCAGCGGAUCCUGUAAGUGGCCUUUGCGACCAGCCGACUGUCCACUCUUAUGAGAACCAGAGUAACAAGGAGUACAUGGAGAUGAUUGAUCCCAUGACAGAUGAAGGCCAAUCAAGCACGGAGACGCAUGCGUCGAGGAUGAUGGACGAGGGCAAUUCAAACAAUCAAGGCAAAUCAAGCAACGAAAGCAAAUCAAGCACAAAGGCAGUGGUGAUGGUGCUGGAUUCCGAUGAGGAGCAUGAAGUGCGGGGUAUGACCAUGGAGAUGCGCAAAUAUUUGAAGAUGCUCGAAUUUGAGGAAGAGGAGGAGGAGGGGAAGAUGACCCCGGAGGAUUUAGCGAUGGCUGACCAAUUUGAAAAGGAGCUAUUAGAGAUGGAAGCCAACUUUCUCAAAGUCCAGGAGCAGGAUGAUAAGGACACGCCAAACUGGAUCUCUGUCUCACAUCAGGACGAGGCAGAGGAGAUGGAGAUGGAGGACAGGUUGUUUGCUAGACGCCGUAAAGGCUGGGAAUCUGCAUGGGGAGACCGCAGUGACUUCGAAGACAUGACCUUAUUGAGUCCUAUGCACUUUACACAUUGCACGCUGGGACUGAUCCCCUACACUGCUAGCACUGUGAGCGCCUUGCAGAUCUACUCUGUCAAGAUUGUUGAAACAAAGGGAAAGUUGAAGUGGCCACUCUAUGUCUACGGGGUCAUCUCUGCCCGAGAUGCCGUAGAUCACAACCGUAACAUUCUCUUCUCUCGGCAAAGGGAAGACUACCAAGAACUCACUCUAGAGGAUCCUUUUUUGCACCUGACUGGCCCGUCUCGGGCUAUUGUGGCUGUGGACAAUGUUGACUUCGAAAUCCAACUUAAAGUAAAGGGCACAACAUGGUCUGGUGACAAAGCAUUGAUCAGUCGCUUCGAGACUUACCCUGGUGGUUAUCGUGAAGGUUUAGAUACGGCGCUCUUCAGCAACUCCUUUUGCACAGUAGAGUUAAGCUUUGAGCGACUUACAGAAACCGUCCACGCUACUAUCUUGAGUGUCUGUGUUGUUGAAGGGUGGCCGUCACCUUUUGAAUAUGGCGGUCGGAUUAUGUGCUCCUCACCACCACAGGAAGUUAAGGACCCCCUAUCCAGGCAUGUUGUGUUGGUUGAUUCUCAUGAUUUUGAUGGAGAAAUGCCAAUGGGCUCAGCUGGUUACGUUGAUCUGUCAAGGCAUGUUGUUUCUGUAGAACUGGGACAUAACCUGCAAGUUGUCCUACAAGCUUACUCACAGUCUGGUGCCAUUGCUAGGCAAAGCCGUCUCACGUUUAGGACCAAAUAUUGCAACAUAAGUCGAGGUAUAUGUGAGAUUGUGACUCUAAGGUGGAGAUUACUGUUGCUUGGUCCCAGCUUAUCAAGAACAAGAUUGAAAUCCUCUAAGGACAUGUUUGAUUGUUCUUGUGGCAUGGAUGCUAUGGAGUAG